GGGAAAAGAUAAUGAGUUCUAUUUUAGACAUACUGAGGUAAGAUGUCUCUACUACAUAUCCAGUUUAAGAUGUCUGAAAGGUAAUUGGAUCUCCAAAGGGACAC
Molecule: long non-coding RNA, 104 nt
Organism: Sarcophilus harrisii (Tasmanian devil)
Lineage: Eukaryota; Metazoa; Chordata; Mammalia; Dasyuromorphia; Dasyuridae
Exons: 2
Source: RefSeq, a predicted model, not a curated record